Molecule: ribosomal RNA, 497 nt
Filed under: uncultured bacterium
Lineage: Bacteria
Description: partial 16S ribosomal RNA
Rfam family: Bacterial small subunit ribosomal RNA
Source: RNAcentral
ACUCAAAUGAAUUGACGGGGGCCCGCACAAGCGGCGGAGCAUGUUGCUUAAUUCGACGCAACGCGAAGAACCUUACCAAGGUUUGACAUGGCCGGAAAUCCCCUGGAGACAGGGGGUCCUUCGGGGCCGGCCACAGGUGGUGCAUGGCUGUCGUCAGCUCGUGUCGUGAGAUGUUGGGUUAAGUCCCGCAACGAGCGCAACCCUCGUCCCAUGUUGCCAGCGGGUGAUGCCGGGGACUCAUGGGAGACUGCCGGGGUCAACUCGGAGGAAGGUGGGGAUGACGUCAAGUCAUCAUGCCCCUUAUGCCUUGGGCUGCAAACAUGCUACAAUGGCCGGUACAGAGCGCUGCGACACCGCAAGGUGGAGCGAAUCGCGGAAAGCCGGUCUCAGUUCGGAUCGGGGUCUGCAACCCGACCCCGUGAAGCCGGAGUCGCUAGUAAUCGCGGAUCAGCAAUGCCGCGGUGAAUACGUUCCCGGGCCUUGCACACACCGCCCGU